This 535-nucleotide ribosomal RNA is filed under the name Tresus capax. Its description in RNAcentral is "eukaryotic LSU rRNA". The stretch from base 435 to 535 matches the Rfam family "Eukaryotic large subunit ribosomal RNA", at positions 1 to 101 of the family's 3401-position model. Lineage: Eukaryota; Metazoa; Mollusca; Bivalvia; Venerida; Mactridae. The record is from RNAcentral.
GCUCUGUGCGUCGAUGAAAGAGCGGCGGCCAGCUGCGUGAAUUAAUGUGAAUUGCAGGGACACACUAGGAACAUCGACAUCUUGAACGCAUAUUGCGGCUUCCGACUCUCUGCCGGAGCCUCGCCUGUCUGAGGGUAGGCGACCAUGUAAUCGUGACAAUGUGCCGCCGCUUACACCGCGGUAGCACGUCGCGCUUUGGCGUUGUCGAGCGAGCCAGUCUCGCCCGUCCGCCUCGAGAUUUCGACCGCUCCGCGUCUCCGCUUCGGCAGUGGCGCCUGGACCGGGCUCGAUCGGGCUCUCGUCCGGCGCACGUCUGGUCGCAGUUAGCUCUGCGACCGUGACGAGCUGUCCAACAGGAAACGCAAUACGUAGCGGGCAAACGCAAGUUUGCACAAGUCGUAUGCCCGCCUAGCGAGCAGUACGCACAGCACAUCCUACCUCGGAUCAGACGAGACUACCCGCUGAAUUUAAGCAUAUCAGUAAGCGGAGGAAAAGAAACUAACAAGGAUUCCCCCAGUAACGGCGAGUGAAGCGG